Molecule: ribosomal RNA, 913 nt
Filed under: uncultured bacterium
Lineage: Bacteria
Description: bacterial SSU rRNA
Rfam family: Bacterial small subunit ribosomal RNA
Source: RNAcentral
UUCGCUGACGAGUGGCGGACGGGUGAGUAAUGCUUGGGAACAUGCCUUUGUGAGGGGGAUAACCGUUGGAAACGACGGCUAAUACCGCAUAAUGUCUACGGACCAAAGGGGGCUUCGGCUCUCGCGCAAAGAGUGGCCCAAGUGAGAUUAGCUUGUUGGUGAGGUAAAGGCUCACCAAGGCGACGAUCUCUAGCUGUUCUGAGAGGAAGAUCAGCCACACUGGGACUGAGACACGGCCCAGACUCCUACGGGAGGCAGCAGUGGGGAAUAUUGCACAAUGGGGGAAACCCUGAUGCAGCCAUGCCGCGUGUGUGAAGAAGGCCUUCGGGUUGUAAAGCACUUUCAGUUGUGAGGAAAGGUGUGUGGUUAAUACCCGCAUACUGUGACGUUAGCAACAGAAGAAGCACCGGCUAACUCCGUGCCAGCAGCCGCGGUAAUACGGAGGGUGCGAGCGUUAAUCGGAAUUACUGGGCGUAAAGCGCACGCAGGCGGAAUGUUAAGCUAGAAGUGAAAGCCCUGGGCUCAACCUGGGAAGGCCUUUUAGAACUGGCAUUCUAGAGUUUUGGAGAGGGGAGUGGAAUUCCACGUGUAGCGGUGAAAUGCGUAGAUAUGUGGAGGAACAUCAGUGGCGAAGGCGACUCUCUGGCCAAAGACUGACGCUCAUGUGCGAAAGUGUGGGUAGCGAACAGGAUUAGAUACCCUGGUAGUCCACACCGUAAACGCUGUCUACUAGCUGUGUGUGAUUCUAAAUUGUGCGUAGCGAAGCAAACGCGCUAAGUAGACCGCCUGGGGAGUACGGCCGCAAGGUUAAAACUCAAAUGAAUUGACGGGGGCCCGCACAAGCGGUGGAGCAUGUGGUUUAAUUCGAUGCAACGCGAAGAACCUUACCAGGACUUGACAUCCAGCGAAGUUA